Molecule: long non-coding RNA, 273 nt
Organism: Orcinus orca (killer whale)
Lineage: Eukaryota; Metazoa; Chordata; Mammalia; Artiodactyla; Delphinidae
Exons: 3
Source: RefSeq, a predicted model, not a curated record
AUGUGGUCAUCAUUAUAAACCAGAUUCCUGGAACAAAGGUAAACUUAGGGACUGGAAAACCAGAAGGUACAGAUGAAGAGGGAAUCCAGUUCUGUGAGCUUCCAUGAAGACUUUCAAAAUUCACAUAGGGAUGUACACGAUGAUCUGAUGCAGAUCUUUGAGUUGUUCUGCAGGAACUGAGGCCUCCACCCAGGUGGAGGAUGGUAAGUUUGUGCUGAGAUGCCAGACCAGUUGGAAGCAAAAGGAUAGUAAAGGAUCAAAACAUUAUUGGAA